UUAAAAACAACAAAACAUUCAAAACCAAAACCAUCAUUGUGGCUAAAAACGAACGACUAGCUAUUUGAAGACCUUGCCAAUUAGAUGACUUCAUACAUUAUUAAUAACGGCUAUUUGAAAAGUCAACGCGAAACAACAUUUUGUAGUUAAUAACCAAUUAUUUAUAGUAGUAAACCAAGCAAGUUUCUUUUCGCGUUGCGUUGUACGCACCUGACCGCGUGCGCGGACAGAUCUAAUCACCUUAUCAGUAGUUUGCAUAGCUAGUAUGGUUUGGUCCGCCAUUACCGACGUACCUAUUUAUUAUUUAUAUAAGUCGUGCAUUUAAUUCGGAUAUAUAAUGAUUUAUAUAAGAUUUCUUUGAUUGAUAGUGAUACGCGAUUUAAUUUUGUAUUUUUCCGUUACUGCGGUUGCCGUUUUUACUAAGUGUUGGUUUUCACCUCAAAAUAUAACUGUAAUUCAAUAAUUGUCUUCAGCAACAAGCAAGUUUUUUAUUUGUCCUUUAAUGGCCGGUGUCAUAUUCUGAUUGGUUUGACACACUGGGCUAGUUUAUCUAGAUUAGAUGGAAAAUGAGAAGCUUUGAUGCAGCAUGUCUUUACAAGAAGCAUCAAUAGGUACGAAGAAAGCGAGUUCUAUCUAGUAGGGAUUUAGGAGGAUCCUCGAAUUUGCUUCAAAAUAUUUAACUUCGUUGCGUGACCUGAGGCAGGAAUGGCAUUUGCAUUAAAAUUGUAUUUUACUAGAAUGAAUCUGAAGAGGAACUGAAGAAGUACUUAUUAUAUGUUCAACAUUA
This is a long non-coding RNA of Dalotia coriaria, 787 nucleotides long. RefSeq lists it as uncharacterized. The record is from RefSeq and is a predicted model, not a curated record. Lineage: Eukaryota; Metazoa; Arthropoda; Insecta; Coleoptera; Staphylinidae. The transcript is spliced from 3 exons.